GUGGGGAAUAUUGGACAAUGGGCGAAAGCCUGAUCCAGCGACGCCGCGUGGGUGAAGAAGGCCUGCGGGUUGUAAAGCCCUUUCGGUAGGGAAGAAAAGCCUCGACCUAACACGUCGGGGUAUUGACGUAACCUACUAAAGAAGCACCGGCUAACUCUGUGCCAGCAGCCGCGGUAAUACAGAGGGUGCGAGCGUUAAUCGGAAUUACUGGGCGUAAAGCGCGCGUAGGCGGCUUUGCAAGUCGGGUGUGAAAUCCCCAGGCUUAACCUGGGAACUGCACUCGAGACUGCAUUGCUAGAGUAUGGGAGAGGGAAGUGGAAUUUCCGGUGUAGCGGUGAAAUGCGUAGAUAUCGGAAGGAACAUCAGUGGCGAAAGCGACUUCCUGGACCAAUACUGACGCUCAUGUGCGAAAGCGUGGGGAGCAAA
This 426-nucleotide ribosomal RNA is filed under the name uncultured bacterium. Its description in RNAcentral is "bacterial SSU rRNA". It matches the Rfam family "Bacterial small subunit ribosomal RNA", at positions 354 to 772 of the family's 1533-position model. The record is from RNAcentral.